AGAGCGAACGCUGGCGGCGUGCUUAACACAUGCAAGUCGAGUGCGCGUCCGUAGCAAUACGGAUGGCGCACGGCGCACGGGUGCGUAACACGUGGGCAAUCUGCCCUCGGAUGGGGAUAACCCCGCGAAAGCGGGCUAAUACCGCAUGACAUUCCGGAGACUACGGUCUCUGGAUUCAAAGGAGCAAUUCGCUCGAGGAGGGGUCGCGGCCGAUUAGUUAGUUGGCGGGGUAAUGGCCCACCAAGACGAUGAUCGGUA
RNAcentral lists this ribosomal RNA (258 nucleotides) under uncultured bacterium. RNAcentral's name for it is "partial small subunit ribosomal RNA". It matches the Rfam family "Bacterial small subunit ribosomal RNA", at positions 26 to 285 of the family's 1533-position model. The record is from RNAcentral.